UACAGAGGGUGCAAGCGUUGCUCGGAAUUAUUGGGCGUAAAGGGUGGGUAGGUGGUCCCGUUUGUCUAAGGUGAAAGCCCUAAGCUUAACUUAGGAAGUGCCUUAGAAACGGCGGGACUGGAGUCCUAGAGAGGUUCGUGGAAUUCCCGGUGUAGCGGUGAAAUGCGUAGAGAUCGGGAGGAACACCAGAGGCGAAGGCGGCGAACUGGAUAGGUACUGACACUAAACCACGAAAGCGUGGGUAGCAAACAGG
Molecule: ribosomal RNA, 253 nt
Filed under: uncultured bacterium
Lineage: Bacteria
Description: partial 16S ribosomal RNA
Rfam family: Bacterial small subunit ribosomal RNA
Source: RNAcentral